Molecule: ribosomal RNA, 467 nt
Filed under: uncultured bacterium
Lineage: Bacteria
Description: partial 16S ribosomal RNA
Rfam family: Bacterial small subunit ribosomal RNA
Source: RNAcentral
GACGAACGCUGCGGCGUGCUUAACCCAUGCCAGUCGAACGGAAAGGCCCUGCUUUUGUGGGGUGCUCGAGUGGCGAACGGGUGAGUAAACCGUGAGUAACCUGCCCUUGACUUUGGGAUAACUUUCGGAAACUGGGGCUAAUACCGGAUAGGAGCCCCUGCUGCAUGGUGGGGGUUGGAAAGUUUCGGCGGUUGGGGAUGGACUCGCGGCUUAUCAGCUUGUUGGUGGGGUAGUGGCUUACCAAGGCUUUGACGGGUAGCCGGCCUGAGAGGGUGACCGGCCACAUUGGGACUGAGAUACGGCCCAGACUCCUACGGGAGGCAGCAGUGGGGAAUAUUGCACAAUGGGCGGAAGCCUGAUGCAGCAACGCCGCGUGCGGGAUGACGGCCUUCGGGUUGUAAACCGCUUUCGCCUGUGACGAAGCGUGAGUGACGGUAAUGGGUAAAGAAGCACCGGCUAACUACGUG